Molecule: long non-coding RNA, 417 nt
Organism: Anguilla rostrata (American eel)
Lineage: Eukaryota; Metazoa; Chordata; Actinopteri; Anguilliformes; Anguillidae
Exons: 2
Source: RefSeq, a predicted model, not a curated record
GCUAUGGCAACCAGGUGUGUGGGUUCUUCAGCAAAUCAGCAACUUAAAUGAAUCAGUGGUGCUGAAAUACAGGGAAAAGCAGACACUACAUCCUUUCUAGAACUGGAUACUGUCACCAGUGUUUUAGACGAGGCUGAAGAGGCCUGGUGCUCGGCAGGACAGCCCUGAUGGAUGUUUGGCGAGCUCUGAACGCCGUGCCUGCCUCGUCGCGUGUGACUCAGUGGGCGUGGCCCAGCGCAGCAGGACUGGUCGUGCUGCCACUCACCCUGACCCAGGGGCAAUGCGCAAUCUUGGCCAUUUACUGCAUGAGUGACCUCGCGCGUAGACUGCAAUGCAUAAUUAAUGUAAAAAAAAACACAUAAAACAUGCGUGUGCCCCGCAGAGGGAAUAGAAUAAAAAUCAAUCUGGGUCAUCUGA